RNAcentral lists this unclassified non-coding RNA (336 nucleotides) under soil metagenome. Its description in RNAcentral is "partial contains 5.8S ribosomal RNA, internal transcribed spacer 2, and large subunit ribosomal RNA". The stretch from base 1 to 120 matches the Rfam family "5.8S ribosomal RNA", at positions 35 to 154 of the family's 154-position model. The record is from RNAcentral.
GAUGAAGAACGUAGCGAAAUGCGAUAAGUAAUGUGAAUUGCAGAAUUCAGUGAAUCAUCGAAUCUUUGAACGCACAUUGCGCCCGCCAGUAUUCUGGCGGGCAUGCCUGUUCGAGCGUCAUUUCAACCAUCAAGCCCCCGGCUUGUGUUGGGGACCUGCGGCUGCCGCAGGCCCUGAAAAGCAGUGGCGGGCUCGCUGUCACACCGAGCGUAGUAGCAUACAUCUCGCUCUGGGCGUGCUGCGGGUUCCGGCCGUUAAACCACCUUAAUAACCCAAGGUUGACCUCGGAUCAGGUAGGAAGACACGCUGAACUUAAGCAUAUCAAUAAGCGGAGGA